GAUGAACGCUGGCGGCGUGCCUAAUACAUGCAAGUCGAGCGAACGGACGAGAAGCUAGCUUUUCUGAUGUUAGCGGCGGACGGGUGAGUAACACGUGGAUAACCUACCUAUAAGACUGGGAUAACUUCGGGAAACCGGAGCUAAUACCGGAUAAUAUUUUGAACCGCAUGGUUCAAAAGUGAAAGACGGUCUUGCUGUCACUUAUAGAUGGAUCCGCGCUGCAUUAGCUAGUUGGUAAGGUAACGGCUUACCAAGGCAACGAUGCAUAGCCGACCUGAGAGGGUGAUCGGCCACACUGGAACUGAGACACGGUCCAGACUCCUACGGGAGGCAGCAGUAGGGAAUCUUCCGCAAUGGGCGAAAGCCUGACGGAGCAACGCCGCGUGAGUGAUGAAGGUCUUCGGAUCGUAAAAUUCUGUUAUUAGGGAAGAACAUAUGUGUAAGUAACUGUGCACAUCUUGACGGUACCUAAUCAGAAAGCCACGGCUAACUACGUG
RNAcentral lists this ribosomal RNA (497 nucleotides) under uncultured bacterium. RNAcentral describes it as "partial 16S ribosomal RNA". It matches the Rfam family "Bacterial small subunit ribosomal RNA", at positions 28 to 507 of the family's 1533-position model. The record is from RNAcentral.